Molecule: small nuclear RNA, 306 nt
Filed under: Propithecus coquereli (Coquerel's sifaka)
Lineage: Eukaryota; Metazoa; Chordata; Mammalia; Primates; Indriidae
Description: 7SK RNA (ENSPCOG00000004467.1)
Rfam family: 7SK RNA
About the family: 7SK was discovered as an abundant small nuclear RNA in the mid-70s but a possible function has only recently been suggested. Two independent studies have found that 7SK RNA binds the CDK9/cyclin T complex (known as elongation factor P-TEFb). P-TEFb activates transcription by phosphorylating the C-terminal domain of RNA polymerase II.
Source: Rfam by way of RNAcentral
GGAUGUGAGAGCAGUCCAGCUGUGACACCUGUCACCCUAUUGGUUGCCAGGGUUGAUUCAGCUGAUCUGGCUGGCUAGGCGGGUAUUCUCUUCCUCCUUCACUGCUCCAUGUACAUCCCUCCUGAAGCCAUGCACUUGAUCGAAGAGGAAGACCUUCUCCAACAGAGGAGGACCGUUCUUUGGUCAAGGGUAUACGAGUAGCUGUGCUCCCUUGCUAGAACCUCCAAACAAGCUCUCAAAGAUCUAGCCCAGAAAUUCAUGAGGGCAAGGGUUAGGUCUUAUACCUCUUUAUAGGCCCCUUUAUAA